AGAUGGAAGAGUCUCCUGGAUACUUUAAAGUAUGCUGUACAGCUCUGCUUAUCAUAUAACUCUUGUAGAUGAGUGAUCAUAGCCCUAGCAGUGGACAUAUGCUCAUACUGGCUCUAUAACUCGUUUGACAUGAAAGCCAGCACAUAGCACUUAAUCUGACUAUCUUCAUCCAUCCAUCUUUCAUAUGCUAUUCUUUGCUCAGUAGUAGGAUGG
Molecule: long non-coding RNA, 213 nt
Filed under: Elaeis guineensis (African oil palm)
Lineage: Eukaryota; Viridiplantae; Streptophyta; Magnoliopsida; Arecales; Arecaceae
Description: long non-coding RNA (EGUI_LNC055469)
Source: RNAcentral